AUUGGGCUUAGGGUUUGUUUUUUCUCAUCAGCACAAAAUUGAAGAAGAAGAAAAAGAAGGAGACGAACCCAAACCUUUUCAUGCGGCUGAGUUCUCUCGUCGACGGCGAUGGGCUCAUUCUCUCUCAAGCUCCUGCCUCGGAUCCCCUCUACUCUCAAGCUUCCUCCCUCAGAUUGGUGGGUGGCAGGUAUCUUACUCUCCAAACCCAUUUCAAGGUUUGGUUUUUUAUUUUUCCGCCUAUCUCACCAUCUCUCUUGUUUAUAUGUACAUUUGUGUUUUUUUUUAUUUCUCACACGGUAGGCUCCCUCUUUCUCACAUUCUCUACUACUCUCUCUCUCUCGUUCUCUCUCUAUAUAUAUAUGUGUGUUUAUGUAUUUUUUUUAAUUUCUAUUUUGUUUUACUGAUUUUAUUAUUUGCUAUUUUGUGAAAAGGCUCCUUCUCUGAGCUAUCUCUCUAAAUCAAGUUUAUAUGUAUAUAUAUAUAUAUAUAUAUUUUAUAUACAUAUUUUAAUUUUCUUCUGUACUAAUUUUGUGCUCUGUUUUGUGUGUGUGAAAGGGGAAGAUUUUAUGGGUUUGUUGUGUGCUCACCUUAUGUCUCCCUCGGCAUCCUAAAUAUUGUGAUAUCUAUAUGUGUUUUAAUUUUUGUUUUGAUUUAUAUUGUUUUUUUAGAAUGUUGUAUGUACGUUAGAUGUUUAACCUUAUAUGACAUAUCAUUUGUGGUUUGAGAUUUCUCAAUUAAGUUGAUGGUGAACAUGGUUAUGGAGGAUUAACGGUGUACCUUUACUAUGGUGGCUUUGGUGGUGAUCAUGAUUAUUGGGUCAAGAUUGUGGAAGAGGUCGUCACUAUCAGAGGCCUUGUUAUGAUCAUCAAUAUAUCAUACUUCUAUGAUGCAAACCAUGACUCUAGCAACAUUUUCGAUAUAUGGCUCCAGAAAAGAAGAAAGUUCAAGAAUUGAAGCGGUGGAUUGAAGAAUUGGAAAAUGAAUUGAGGUAUGCGUGGAUUAAGAAAUGGAAGAUGAUCAUUUUAUAACAGCUCCUAACAUUCCUGAAUUUUAGCCUUCGCCUGAUUUACUCGACAAAGAUCAAAACGAUAUGUUCAAAACAAAGAUUUAACGGGCAGAGAAAAAAAUAAGCAGGAUGCACUACUUUAGAUCAAGAUUGCAAGAGUAUUCGAAGGUUCGAAUCCACAAUAGCUAUUGAUUGGAACCUUAUAUAUUUAUAUGUAUAUAUAUUAUUCUUGUAGUGAAAAUGACAUUCUGUUAGCAUUGGACCAUGGGUAGAAACUAGAAUGUUUGUGGUGAUAUUGAAGAGGAUAAGUUUUUGCAAAGGAACGAAGAAGUUGCUUGAAGAAUCUCUCAUCAAGUCAAGUUAUGAUAUUAUGGGGUUCCAUUGUUAAUUCAAGUUAUCCUUAUUAGAUUUCUUAGUUCUGUAUUAUAAAUGUGAUAAGAUUGAUUAUUUAUAUUUGUUCCAAAUUUGGUUUUUUUUAGAUUUUCAACUAUCUCAUUGAAUGUACAAGUUUUGUUAUUUUAAUCUAUAAGUUUUCAAAUUUGUAUAUAAA
Molecule: long non-coding RNA, 1556 nt
Organism: Humulus lupulus (European hop)
Lineage: Eukaryota; Viridiplantae; Streptophyta; Magnoliopsida; Rosales; Cannabaceae
Exons: 6
Source: RefSeq, a predicted model, not a curated record